UCUCAUAUCGACUGAAUACGCCGUUUCCUUCUCCUCUCCCAUCUUCUCUAUUCGAGAGCUUCACAGCUCUCAACUCUCCAUUCCUUUCUUCUUCGUGGCCAAGAAGCUCGACAACAAGCUCUCUAUAUCAGCCACCAAAUAUCAAUGGCCACUCCGCCUUGAACACCGCCGAAGCCCUUAAACACCUCGACCCCGAUUUGGACCAAAAUUCUCAAUUAAAACCCCUAACGCUCUGGUCACUGUACGAUAGCUUGGUGACUUACAUCGACCCCCAAACUCCCUUCGUCUUUCAAGUUGAUGAUGAUGGCUUGGUGGAUGUCUCAACUUGAAAAACGAGUGUUGACAGGCAAAGCUAUUGUAAACGAUUCG
This is a long non-coding RNA of Hibiscus syriacus, 369 nucleotides long. RefSeq lists it as uncharacterized. The record is from RefSeq and is a predicted model, not a curated record. NCBI's taxonomy places the organism in Eukaryota, Viridiplantae, Streptophyta, Magnoliopsida, Malvales, Malvaceae. The transcript has 2 exons.